UCUGGUGACUAUAGCAAGGAGGUCACACCUGUUCCCAUGCCGAACACAGAAGUUAAGCUCCUUAGCGUCGAUGGUAGUCGAACUUAAAAAGUUAAGUUCGUUCGCU
Molecule: ribosomal RNA, 106 nt
Filed under: Staphylococcus aureus
Lineage: Bacteria; Bacillati; Bacillota; Bacilli; Caryophanales; Staphylococcaceae
Source: RNAcentral